Molecule: non-coding RNA, 72 nt
Organism: Dallia pectoralis (Alaska blackfish)
Lineage: Eukaryota; Metazoa; Chordata; Actinopteri; Esociformes; Umbridae
Source: the annotation of a GenBank genome assembly
CCCAGUGUUGCUUAAUUGGUCGAGCAUGACACUUUCAAUGCCAAGUUGUGGGUUUGAUUCCCAUUCCUUGCU